Molecule: ribosomal RNA, 267 nt
Filed under: uncultured Erysipelothrix sp.
Lineage: Bacteria; Bacillati; Bacillota; Erysipelotrichia; Erysipelotrichales; Erysipelotrichaceae
Description: partial 16S ribosomal RNA
Rfam family: Bacterial small subunit ribosomal RNA
Source: RNAcentral
ACCUAUCAUUCAGUUGGGGACUCUAGAGAGACUGCCGGUGAUAAACCGGAGGAAGGUGGGGAGUGACGUCAAAUCAUCAUGCCCCUUAUGGCCUGGGCUACAAACGUAAUACAAUGGCGUAUACAAAGGGAUGCGAAAGGGCGACCUGGAGCAAAACUCACAAAGUACGUCUCAGUUCAGAUUGGAGUCUGCAACUCGACUCCAUGAAGGCGGAAUCGCUAGUAAUCGCGGAUCAGCAUGCCGCGGUGAAUACGUUCUCGGGGGUUU